GCCUGGCUGGCUCAGUCAGUAGAGCAUGGGACUCUCAAUCUCAGAGUUUCACAACAUGAGUUCAAGCCCCGUGCUGGGCA
This 80-nucleotide transfer RNA is filed under the name Canis lupus familiaris (dog). It matches the Rfam family "tRNA". Rfam says of the family: Transfer RNA (tRNA) molecules are approximately 80 nucleotides in length. RNAcentral also lists the same sequence under 1 other name. The record is from Rfam by way of RNAcentral. Lineage: Eukaryota; Metazoa; Chordata; Mammalia; Carnivora; Canidae.